AUGCCCUGGUAUACAUGGUGGAAGCUUUGCUACCCAAAAAGUGAGGGGGGUAUGUGGUUCAGAGAUCUCUAUUCUUUUAAUCUUGCCAUGCUCUAAAAGCAAGUUUGGCGGUUGAUCACUAACCCGGAUUCCCUAUGUGCAAGAGUAUUGAAAGCUAAAUACUUCCCUAAUGAAAGUUUAUUACAAGCUACCCUGAAGAGUGGUGCUUCGUUUACGUGGCAAAGCAUUAUGAAAGGUCUUGAAACAUUUAAGUUGGGGUAUAUCUGGAGGGUUGGUACCGGUGAGAACAUUAACAUCUGGAGCGACCCCUGGAUACCGUCUAGUCCGGACAGGAGAGUUUUAUCAAACCGGGGGCAAACACUGAUAUCACGAGUACAUGAUCUAAUUGACCCUAUGACUGGUUUUUGGGACAAGGAACUGAUCAGAUCUAUAUUCAUAUCGGUUGAUGUAGACAGGAUCUUGCAAAUUCCCCUAAACUAUGGGGCUUUCGAGGACUUUAUCGCAUGGCACCCGGAUCAUAAAGGGUUUUUCUCUAUGAAAUCAGCAUACAAAGUACAAUGGAUACGAUCUUUCCCGGCACAUGCAACGGUGAUGGCACGACCUGGAGGCUCAAGAACUCCAGCAGUGUGGAGUACACUAUGGAAACAAAAGGUCCCACGUAAAAUUCAAAUUUUUUGUUGGCGUGCUCUACAUGGUAUUAUUCCGCUAGAGUCCAUACUCACGAACUGUCAUAUUUGAACUAAUGGGGCAUGUCCUAUAUGUCAUCAAGAUGCGGAAGAUCGCCACCUACUGUUUGAUUGUUGCAAUGCCAAGCACCUCUGGGAACGCCUAGGCAUUGCGGGAAUGAUUGAGGAAGCAAAGUUGAUUGAUCGCUCAGGGUCAGUUAUAUUGGAACAUCUACUCCUUGCACCAGAUUUACCCUUGUCACUGAAACCAAAUAUUACUGCCAAACAAGCUCUUAUGGUGGGCAACUGGUACUUAUGGUGGAUAAGACGUGAACUCACUCAUGAUGGUAGACCACCACAUCCCACGCGGUGGCAUAUGUCCGUCCUGGCAAUUGCUAGUAAUUAUCAUGAAGCUAAUCGCAAACAAAAUGAUAAUAGAGAGAUGAAGUACGUGGACAAAACCAGACCUCAUCUUCAUAAAGGUAAAUGUUGA
RNAcentral lists this ribosomal RNA (1158 nucleotides) under Triticum aestivum (bread wheat). Its description in RNAcentral is "partial small subunit ribosomal RNA". Lineage: Eukaryota; Viridiplantae; Streptophyta; Magnoliopsida; Poales; Poaceae. The record is from RNAcentral.